GGGGUAUAUGUCUUCGGAUAUAGAGACCGGCGCACGGGUGCGUAACGCGUAUGCAAUCUACCUUUCACAGAGGGAUAGCCCAGAGAAAUUUGGAUUAAUACCUCAUAGUAUUACGACUCGGCAUCGAGAUGUAAUUAAAGUCACAACGGUGAAAGAUGAGCAUGCGUCCCAUUAGCUAGUUGGUAAGGUAACGGCUUACCAAGGCAACGAUGGGUAGGGGUCCUGAGAGGGAGAUCCCCCACACUGGUACUGAGACACGGACCAGACUCCUACGGGAGGCAGCAGUGAGGAAUAUUGGUCAAUGGACGCAAGUCUGAACCAGCCAUGCCGCGUGCAGGAUGACGGUCCUAUGGAUUUGUAACUGCUUUUGUACG
This 374-nucleotide ribosomal RNA is filed under the name Flavobacterium sp. FlavoEI_GT7Tr1CF52_C08_59. Its description in RNAcentral is "bacterial SSU rRNA". It matches the Rfam family "Bacterial small subunit ribosomal RNA", at positions 66 to 442 of the family's 1533-position model. Lineage: Bacteria; Pseudomonadati; Bacteroidota; Flavobacteriia; Flavobacteriales; Flavobacteriaceae. The record is from RNAcentral.